UACGCGUGGCUCACUGAGGGCAUGCGGUUCGGCGUUGUUUUAAUGCCGUACAUUUUAGUGCAGUGAUUAGUGUAAUCACUGUGUCGCACUUUUCUCUGAUCAAAAAUCAGAAAUCAGAGAAAUCGCAGCUGUUUUGCAUGUAGAAUGCAUAUUUUCUACUGCUCCAGCCACGAGGUUCUGUGCGUGUGCGUGUGUGUGCUUCAAUAGGUGACAGCUCAUUUCGUUGCUUUAGAAAAGUGUUGCUAGAAGAAACGGGCAAGCAGUGAAUAGAUAAAACUCAGUAACCUUUGGUUUUGUUUGUGGAGAAAAUAUAUGUGCCUAUGUGUGUCGUGCUUUGGUGUAAUAUGAGGAUGUGUUUGAGGAAUAUUGCGUGACUGCAGAAUAUCGCCGUGAUGAUAUAUACCGCAUUAGCAAGCAGUUCCGGUUUUGGGGAUUGUGUUUUGCCGGCAAAAAGCCAGGGUUGGCUCGAAAAGCAUUUGCCAUAAAUGAGGCACCAGCUUAUCUUGCCAUAAAUGACGUGUUUCUUAAUAUCGGUGUGAUUUUGAGACCUUUGAUCGAUACUAAAUGAGACUUAUGCUGCCUGAUCUGCAUAUUGAGGUACUGUGAUCGAUGAAACAUUUCAGCAUUGGUAUUAUAGCACAAAAUUCAAUUUUUCAACAGAGCUCGACGCAGCGAAUGCCUGAAAAUGGAAAACAAAUAACUUUCAUCGAAUUAGACUGUGAAACCUUCCAUUCAGCAAAAGUAAGUCUUAAAUUAAGAAAAGCUGUAUCUGGAAGUGCAUUUGCCAGAAAAAUGACCUUCACCUAGACAAUUAUGGCACAGUUUGGCGGUUUGUUGCCUGCGCUGUGAUGGCAUUAUUUGGCAGUAAUUGCCGCAUUACAGUAGAGAAGAUGCUUGCCUUGGCACAGCGGGCACCGGGUAUGGGGCUCUGGAAAGCGAUGAGAAGCUUUUAAAGCGGUCCGGCUUUCGUUCUACCCGAUCCGGACACUUCUCUGCUAAACGCCGCCCACCGCAUACGAUAUUCUGCCGGCAGCUUUGCAAUUAAUUGCAGUACAAGGCAAGGAUUGUGGCAGAUGUUCUGGCAUGUCAGCUGCCACUUUUGUGGUCACAUAGACCCUGCUCGGUAUUGCCGAAUUUGAUUAAGCUCCCCAGCUUAUCCGAUCGAGUGGCUGGAGUCUGCGGUACCCGUUCAAUCAUAGAUUGUAUGAGCCAUUCGGGUCUGCCAAUCCUCUUUCUGAGAGUUUCCAUUAUGUCGGGGACUGACUCGGGCAGUAUCAGCCAUCCCUGUAUAGCUUCUAGUGCUGCGCCUUUAAGGCAACGCUGUAACCUUAGAAGGCUCUCCUAUGGCCUAUAUCCACAAAGCUUGGUGGAGUAGCUGUAAUUUACGUGAAACGCUGGUGAUUCCUCCGGGUUUCCCCGAGAACGUCGACUGCCAUUUGUUCGUUGGUUAUUGCUUUUAUUGCUUUUAGCAAUUGAUGUUCUGGGCCCGCUUGAUAGGCCGCAACGGAGCACAGCUCGGGAUUGGGUGCGCUACCCUUUUUUUCGAUGUUGUUGUCAGGUGCAACGCUCGCCAGCCAGCUUCGCAUGCGGUUGUUGUGCGUGGAGAUAACACUUGAGACUUGGCUGGCAUUAUCCCCUCCUCUAAGAGGUCAACCGCAAUUCCGAACUUUUCCUCACUGAAUCUCCUUUCCAGCACAAUGCACUCCAGCUUCCAGUUACGUAAUUUCGUGUCAUAUACUAGUUCUGCGGGCGAUGCUUUGAUGUCCUCUCAGUAUGCUGUGCGUAGGCCUAACAUAAUUAGUGGCAGUUGUUUAACUCAGUGGACGGUAUCUUUACAGCAGAUGGCGCUUUUUGGGUGCGAUGCCAUCGUUCGACACGUCUGUUCACGCUUGAACCUGUAUGUAAAUAUCCAUUUAAAGCCAUUUUUAAUGUUUUCUACUGUUUUAAAGUAUUUUAUUUCGCUCUACAUUUAUUUGUUUAUCAAUAACAAACAAAAUUACUCGAUGUGUCCGUCUGAUAUUCCAUUUAUUUCCUCCAGGCGGCUACAAAAUCGGUAACACACGUUGUGGCAACAUAGGUCUCUGACACAGAAGCCCAGGUUUUGAUGAUAGACGCUUUCAGCGAUUCAACCGAACGGUAUGAUGAUUCACAGGCCUUAGCCUGAACAAACGCCCCUAUUGAAUAGUCCAACGGAUUUAAAUCAGGACUGCUUGGAGGCUAAAUAUCUUUCGGCCAAAAAUUCAUGUUUUCCUUCAACCAUGUUUGAGUCCGGUUAGAUGUGUGGCAGGGGGCGCCAUCUUGCUGAAACACAACAUUUUGUGGUGCUUCGAAGUUUCCUUUAACCCCCCAUGGUAAAACGUGUUUCUUCAAAAUAUCAACGUACACAUCAGUAAUCAUUUUAACACCGGAUUUUAUAAAAACUGGUGGCAUUUUCAAACCAUUCGAGGCAACUGCUCCAAACCUCAUUAUUCCAGCGGGAUGCUUGGAAGUGAACUUAUAUUUUAUGUUCUCUGGAACAUCCUUAGUCUUUAGGGGCGAUAUGAACUUUUCUGUGCGGGAAUUUUUCGCUGAAUCGAUUGUGAAAUGUUUCUCAUCAGAGAACACGAUCACCGGAUUCUUCUUCUUCAGAACUGACAACAAAUACUUCGAUCGCAUGUCGAAGAACUUUUACCCUUUCAACUAUUAAAUGGCGCUUCAUUCUAGCUCUAGAAGUAGCUUUUAGGUCAUAUUUGACCAACCGUUGCAUAGACGAUGCAGAGAUGGCCCCUAUUGCGAGUGUCUUGUCUCGUUUCCAAGACAAACGUCAGUCUGGUGUCGGUAUUGCGAGUGUCUUGCUUGCCUUCGAUUUCUGUCUUGGAAACGAGACUCAGCUGUCUCGUACUCAAAGCUACCAGACUGGGAGUCUGCCAAACAAGACUGCGAUUUAAAAUGACCGUUACGGUUUUUUAUUUAGCAGACUGGUGGUUGAUUUGGAAGAAUUUAAUGGAAUUAAUCAAUUACGAAAUGGUUAGUCACAUGUAUACGGAGAAUCAGUUGAUUCUAAAUGGGGUUUUGCUGGCCAGGCGGAGCUCUUGUUAAACGGCACAUUUUCUGAGAACCACGUAACUUUCAGACGCGAGGAAACGCAACGACGCACAGAUCCUCACAAUUGGAGUAACGGCUGUGUUAUGUAAAGUCUUUUUAAAAUCAUCCUUUGUUGCAGCAAGGAGGUACUUAAUCGCCGACUUAUUCAAUCUAAAUAAUUUGAUGCACCUGCAAAGUUCUGGUUUGGUUUUUUGGCCGGUGUUAUAGAUUUUUUGGUUGGAGGAGAUAGUUCAAGCUGUCUUUUCUGUGUGGUGAUCUGUUCGUUAGUUGUUGCUAUAGUCGGUCGGGGUGGUGUUUGACUGACAGUUUUUCAUCUCUGGUUUUGAUGAUAUUUUCGUUGCCAAUACUGUUUAGAUAAGCUUGUUCGACUGUGCCCAAUGGUUGGAUUGAUUUUGCUGCUACAAAUGGGUUUUCGAACUUACUCUCCUUGUGUUUUAGCUUCAGCAGAAUUGAUUUUAUCGGCCCAUAUUCUUUGUUAGCAUCCAUCCACUCCGGGAUGGUCCGAUCAUUUGCUCUACUAACCAUCUUACUGCUUACGGGCGCAGAGGCCCUUUUUUGUGAUUCGGACUACCUUCCUUUGUUACAGUUGCACUUGUCACUCGUAUACACAGAUUAUCGUCCCCUCCUCCUUUCUCGCUCGUCUUUCUUUCACUCUGUUCGCUAGUACUUUCAGAUACGUGUGUUCGCUUCGGCUUGACAUUUGCUGCGACUGCCAUAAAAUAAUGUUGAAAACUCGUUCUUCUCAACUGCGAACAGUAAUCCAAACCACUGCUCGCCGCUUCAACUUUUAAUAAUAAUCGGCUGAUGUUCUAUCGUGGAUGUAUCAGGGAUUUAUCGCAAAAAUUGCAAAAAUUAGGAGGUUUCUAUUCAGUGAUAUUUUUCAUUAAGUUUAAAUAGCACUAACUGCUCAUCCGACAACGAUAGCGGGUCCGUAGUGUUUCGAAUGUUUCUGCGCAUCACCGACACGUGCAUCAGAUUCUCUUCCUCUUCUUCGUCGAAAUAAUCGAACAAAAAUGGUACGAUUGAAAACAUUUUUUGAUGAAUUAAAACACGUUAACGGUAAGGAAACUCGAGCUGCGCGCGAUUGUUUACAUACAAAGCUGCGAUUUUGACGGCUUUGGACAGCCAAAUGAACACUUGUUCAUUCAAGUAUUCAUGCGACUCUCGCAAUACCGAUUUUAAACAACCAAGACUCCGCGGUUUUUGGCACACAAGAAUGGUCGAGUCUUGUCUUGAAAACGAGACAAGACACUCGCAAUAGGGGCCGGAUGGAUCGCACUGAAUUGCGCUCAAUUUUAGCUCUCAACGACUGCAGGCGUUGCAUGUCCAAGGUUAGCUGGUGUAUUUGGGGGGCGUUGUAGAGUGGUGUUACUACUCUGGUCGACAGUCGCAGAGUAAACUGGACGUACUGGGUUGGGCUGAACUGGAGCGACGUAAGCUUCCGCAGUGCCGGAAACUGUUCUCCAUUUGCGUUUUUCUGCACGCCAUCCACAAUGCUAGCAGAUGAGCGGAUCGAUGCGGUCACGAUGAUAGAAAAGGUCCCUCCGGAAAGCGUGGUAUGUUUUAAAUGUUCUUGGCUAGCCGUCUCAUCUCGUUGGAAAGCUAUGAGGGUUUCUGGUCACCUAACACUAACUCGGCCACGACGCGAUGCAUCCUAAAUCGUUGGCUCUCGCUGAAGUGGUUAAGGAGUGUCUUCUUCGCGAAGUCGUAUUGUCCUGCAGCGGGCACUUCGUUGAACCGGUCCCGUAGCUCGAUGAGAUUUUCCUCUUGCUACAUUACACUUGUUAAUUCAUUUUUAAUUCGUUUUAACUUCGAAAAAGAGCGUUCUCCGCUACAGUUGGUUACCACCAAUCUUAGAAACAUUCGUAGAGCGAUCUCUAUAUUGGGAAAAGUGUCUUCGAUUCGGUUUUACUUUCAAUAUAUGAUAAAUUUGUAAUAUAGUGAUGGGUUCUUCAGUUUUUAAUUGAUACCGUUUUAGAUAUUCUGCCAAAUAAAGACAUUCUGCUUCUAAUUCUUACUCAUUUAGAUCUCACGUGAUGCAUUUUCGCAAGUUCUUUGCAACUUCUACUUAACUCAACUGGAUUUAAUACUUUUUAAUGACAAAAGAAUCCAAACAUUUGACUAAUGGUUUUUGUUGUGAAUGUGAACAGACCGCCGCGGACUUCAGCUUGAUGAAGUCGCUUUAUUAGUAUUUAAGCAGACUCAAAAUUCGUCUGCCUUCCGUGGCGAUUAUCUUUUAUACACUGAUUCUCGCUUACCGCCUUUCACCUUCUUUCUCACUUGCCUGCUUGCUAGCUGACUUGUCUGCAAGCUCGCACGCAAGUGAGAUACGGGUGGCUGCUCGCGGGCCCUACCGAUAGCCGCUGGUAUCGGUAACACACACGUCUGCUCAGAUCGGAUCCCACGAUCAGGAGAGACCGUUUUUCUUUCUAUUUCCGCUCAGCUGUCAUGUUUGAGAACCGCCAUCCUAUUCCGAACUUGGAAAAAGCGACUUUUUCCAGAUCUACUGUUGCCUGUCCACGUACAGUUUGCCGCGAAGUCCAUAUGAAACAUUUUGUUCCACCCGUGAUGGAACCGGUGCGCUGGUCCUUUGAAUCUUCUUAUUCUCCACCAGUGAUGAUUUGUUUCAGGUCCAGGCUAUAAUGGUGUUCUGCUAAUUGUGCAUCCAUAAGCAUCAUAGACUCUUCUGAACAGAUUGGAAUGUUGAAUUUGUUUCUAUUGGCUGGCGGCGUUGUUUGGGUAGAAACAUGGCUGGGCGUCCCGUAUUGGCUUAGCAGAAGGUUGUUUGUGUCCGUUACUUUAACCAUCACGCUUUUAAUGGUUUCAUGAAGUAUUCUGAUGCCCUGGGCAUUCGAUUUUGCCAUUUGCAGGCACAUUUCGUGUCCCGUGAAUGCUGCCUCGGUUCUGAAAUACGCCAACACAUUAAUAAGAGCAAACUAUUCAAUUAUUAUGAUACUUACGGUUCCGUUUGAACCCCAACGUGUUGUUUUGUGGUAACCGCUUCCUCAAACGGAAUCUCCAAACCGAUUAUUUCCAUUCCUUUGAACCGCGUAAACAUGAUUUUUAUAUGAAACACAUCACUUGAUUCACGAUUGAUAAUAAAUACUUACCAAAAGGAUUUUUAAAAAACGUAAAACAACGUGCAAAAAUGGCGUGCGCAAAAAGUAAUAAAAUUGCGAAAAGCAACAGCAGUGCGAAUAUUCUACAAUUGGGUUCCCGUCUCGGCGCAUGUAAAAUCAUGGUCAUUUCGAACCUGUUUUUUAGCAAAUUAAAUUCCUAGUAGGAACGGGUUAACAUUUUCCAGGCUUUUGCCUGCCGUUAAACUUUCCAUAAGCAUGAUUUGCUCACCUUCUCCGGACAUGUCGUCUUCCAGGUGGAUAGACCUUGAGCAGCCUCUCCCUAGCUACCGUCUCGAUGAGGGCCUUUUCAGUCUUCUCCAUCCUCUGCUGGAGCUGCUCGUGCUGCUGCACCCCACGUGUCGCCAGCGUUUUCAGCUUUAGGACCAUGUCCUUCACCGAACUUGUUCGCCUGGCAACGCGGAACACAUGCACUUUUCACUGAGUGGCGCAGGAUUGUUCUCCGGCUUUACGGACUGAACCUUCACCAGCUCGGCGUAAAGGCUUCUUAUCUGCGUUAUAUAGUGGCCGUCGGUGGCACAUCCACCCGGCCGGCAGCUAACGCACACAGCAUUUCGUCUUUAGUAUGCAUAAUGAAAAUCACUUGCACUACGCUUCUUCGUAAAGCUGUUCACUAUCCCACUUAUGAGAUGUAAAACCACUGAUUUUAGGUGGAUUUUACCACACUUUUCUUCACUUUUCGGACAUAAGGCACAAACAUCAGACGGAAGGAAAACACUGUUGUAAAUAGACACAGAUCGCCGCGGAUUUCAGUUUAAUGAAGUCGCUUUAUUAGUAUUUAAGCAGACUCAAAAUUCGUCUGCCUUCCGUGGCGAUUAUCUUUUAUACACUGAUUCUCGCUUACCGCCUUUCACCUUCUUUCUCACUUGCCGCUUUUAACCUUCUUUCUCAUUUGCCUGCUUGCUAGCUGACUUGCCUGCAAGCUCGCGCGCAAGUGAGCUACGGGUGGCUGCUCGCGGGCCCUACCGAUAGCCGCUGGUAUCGGUAACACACACGUCUGCUCAGAUCGGAUCCCACGAUCAGGAGAGACCGUUUUUCUUUCUAUUUCCGCUCAGCUGUCAUGUUUGAGAACCGCCAUCCUAUUCCGAACUUGGAAAAAGCGACUUUUUCCGGAUCUACUGUUGCCUGUCCACGUACAGUUUGCCGCGAAGUCCAUAUGAAACAUUUUGUUCCACCCGUGAUGGAACCGGUGCGCUGGUCCUUUGAAUCUUCUUAUUCUCCACCAGUGAUGAUUUGUUUCAGGUCCAGGCUAUAAUGGUGUUCUGCUAAUUGUGCAUCCAUAAGCAUCAUAGACUCUUCUGAACAGAUUGGAAUGUUGAAUUUGUUUCUAUUGGCUGGCGGCGUUGUUUGGGUAGAAACAUGGCUGGGCGUCCCGUAUUGGCUUAGCAGAAGGUUGUUUGUGUCCGUUACUUUAACCAUCACGCUUUUAAUGGUUUCAUGAAGUAUUCUGAUGCCCUGGGCAUUCGAUUUUGCCAUUUGCAGGCACAUUUCGUGUCCCGUGAAUGCUGCCUCGGUUCUGAAAUACGCCAACACAUUAAUAAGAGCAAACUAUUCAAUUAUUAUGAUACUUACGGUUCCGUUUGAACCCCAACGUGUUGUUUUGUGGUAACCGCUUCCUCAAACGGAAUCUUCAAACCGAUUAUUUCCAUUCCUUUGAAUCGCGUAAACAUGAUUUUUAUAUGAAACACAUCACUUGAUUCACGAUUGAUAAUAAAUACUUACCAAAAGGAUUUUUAAAAAACGUAAAACAACGUGCAAAAAUGGCGUGCGCAAAAAGUAAUAAAAUUGCGAAAAGCAACAGCAGUGCGAAUAUUCUACAAUUGGGUUCCCGUCUCGGCGCAUGAAAAAUCAUGGUCAUUUCGAACCUGUUUUCUAGCAAAUUAAAAGUAUGAAACGUCAAAACAAAUACUUUGAAAUAAGUAUUAUUUUACAAAAAAAAAAUUACAUUGAUUUCCGAUCAAUUUUCUACACUUGUUUAAUCUAUUUUUGUGCAAGGUUGUAUAUUUUACGCUUUACUCACACUUCGCAACGAUAUCGGGUCUUCUUGCUUCACUGCCGAAAACACUUUGGCUUUAGAUGAUGAUCGAGGCUGGCUUUCGGCGUCGCAUCGUCCCAGAACUUCGCACUGUGUGGUUAUAAAAUUUAAAGUAGUUUCAGGCUACGGAAACUCCCCAUGCGCCAGUGUUCUUUCCCAACGCUUGCGCGUUUCGAUGUUCAAAUACGAUGUCACUAGCUUUGUCACGAUCAGAUUGUUGGUUUUAUCC
Anopheles darlingi is the source of this 8485-nucleotide long non-coding RNA. RefSeq lists it as uncharacterized. The transcript has 3 exons. The record is from RefSeq and is a predicted model, not a curated record. Lineage: Eukaryota; Metazoa; Arthropoda; Insecta; Diptera; Culicidae.